AUUAGCUCAGUUGGUUAGAGCGUCGGAUUGUGGUUCCGAAGGUCAAGGGUUCGAGACCCUUAUU
This 64-nucleotide transfer RNA is filed under the name pig gut metagenome. It matches the Rfam family "tRNA", at positions 6 to 65 of the family's 71-position model. Rfam says of the family: Transfer RNA (tRNA) molecules are approximately 80 nucleotides in length. Their secondary structure includes four short double-helical elements and three loops (D, anti-codon, and T loops). The record is from RNAcentral.